RNAcentral lists this ribosomal RNA (510 nucleotides) under Salmonella enterica subsp. enterica serovar Weltevreden. RNAcentral's name for it is "partial 23S ribosomal RNA". It matches the Rfam family "Bacterial large subunit ribosomal RNA", at positions 1134 to 1643 of the family's 2925-position model. The record is from RNAcentral. RNAcentral also lists the same sequence under 4 other names. Lineage: Bacteria; Pseudomonadati; Pseudomonadota; Gammaproteobacteria; Enterobacterales; Enterobacteriaceae.
GUAAUAGCUCACUGGUCGAGUCGGCCUGCGCGGAAGAUGUAACGGGGCUAAACCAUGCACCGAAGCUGCGGCAGCGACGCUUAUGCGUUGUUGGGUAGGGGAGCGUUCUGUAAGCCUGUGAAGGUGGCCUGUGAGGGUUGCUGGAGGUAUCAGAAGUGCGAAUGCUGACAUAAGUAACGAUAAAGCGGGUGAAAAGCCCGCUCGCCGGAAGACCAAGGGUUCCUGUCCAACGUUAAUCGGGGCAGGGUGAGUCGACCCCUAAGGCGAGGCCGAAAGGCGUAGUCGAUGGGAAACGGGUUAAUAUUCCCGUACUUGGUGUUACUGCGAAGGGGGGACGGAGAAGGCUAUGUUGGCCGGGCGACGGUUGUCCCGGUUUAAGCGUGUAGGUGUGUGUUCCAGGUAAAUCCGGUUCACUUUAACACUGAGGCGUGACGACGAGGCACUACGGUGCUGAAGCAACAAAUGCCCUGCUUCCAGGAAAAGCCUCUAAGCAUCAGGUAACAUCAAAUC